GACGAACGCUGGCGGUGUGCUUAACACAUGCAAGUCGAACGGAAAGGCCCUGCUUUUGUGGGGUGCUCGAGUGGCGAACGGGUGAGUAACACGUGAGUAACCUGCCCUUGACUUUGGGAUAACUUCAGGAAACUGGGGCUAAUACCGGAUAGGAGCUCCUGCUGCAUGGUGGGGGUUGGAAAGUUUCGGCGGUUGGGGAUGGACUCGCGGCUUAUCAGCUUGUUGGUGGGGUAGUGGCUUACCAAGGCUUUGACGGGUAGCCGGCCUGAGAGGGUGACCGGCCACAUUGGGACUGAGAUACGGCCCAGACUCCUACGGGAGGCAGGAGUGGGGAAUAUUGCACAAUGGGCGGAAGCCUGAUGCAGCAACGCCGCGUGCGGGAUGACGGCCUUCGGGUUGUAGACCGCUUUCGCCUGUGACGAAGCGUGAGUGACGGUAAUGGGUAAAGAAGCACCGGCUAACUACGUG
This 468-nucleotide ribosomal RNA is filed under the name uncultured bacterium. RNAcentral describes it as "partial 16S ribosomal RNA". It matches the Rfam family "Bacterial small subunit ribosomal RNA", at positions 28 to 507 of the family's 1533-position model. The record is from RNAcentral.